AAUAAUACUCCCCCGUCCCAAAAUUCUUGUCUUAGAUUUUUCUAAAUACGGAUGUAUCAAGUCACGUGUUAGUAUUAGAUACAUCUGUAUCUAGGCAAAUCUAAGACAAAAAAUUUGAAACGGGGGACUUU
Molecule: non-coding RNA, 131 nt
Organism: Triticum aestivum (bread wheat)
Lineage: Eukaryota; Viridiplantae; Streptophyta; Magnoliopsida; Poales; Poaceae
Source: Rfam